This 388-nucleotide ribosomal RNA is filed under the name uncultured bacterium. RNAcentral's name for it is "bacterial SSU rRNA". It matches the Rfam family "Bacterial small subunit ribosomal RNA", at positions 420 to 806 of the family's 1533-position model. The record is from RNAcentral.
GGGUUGUAAACUGCUUUUUAAGGUGAAUAAAGAGGGGCACGUGUGCCCUGUUGCAUGUAGCCUUAGAAUAAGGACCGGCUAAUUCCGUGCCAGCAGCCGCGGUAAUACGGAAGGUCCAGGUGUUAUCCGGAUUUAUUGGGUUUAAAGGGAGCGUAGGCCGCAGGUUAAGUGUGUUGUGAAAAGCAGUCGCCCAACGUCUGCCUUGCAGCGCAAACUGUCCUGCUUGAGUGCGCACAACGCAGGCGGAAUUCGUCGUGUAGCGGUGAAAUGCUUAGAUAUGACGAAGAACUCCGAUUGCGAAGGCAGCUUGCGGGAGCGCAACUGACGCUGAAGCUCGAAGGUGCGGGUAUCGAACAGGAUUAGAUACCCUGGUAGUCCGCACGGUAAA